CCUACGGGUGGCAGCAGUGGGGAAUAUUGCACAAUGGGCGAAACCCUGAUGCAGCGACGCCGCGUGAGUGAUGACGUAUUUCGGUAUGUAAAGCUCUAUCAGCAGGGAAGAAAAUGACGGUACCUGAUUAAUAAGCCCCGGGUAACUACGUGCCAGCAUCCGCUGUCAUCCGUAGGGGGCAAGCGUUAUCCGGAUUUACUGGGUGUAAAGGGAGCGUAGACGGGAGCACAAGUCUGGAGUGAAAUGCCGGGGCUUAACCCCGGAACUGCUGUGGAAACUGUGCAGCUAGAGUGCAGGAGAGGUAAGUGGAAUGCAUAGUGUAGCGGUGAAAUGCGUAGAUAUUAGGAGGAACACCAGUGGCGAAGGCGGCUUACUGGACUGUAACUGACGUUGAGGCUCGAAAGCGUGGGGAGCAAACAGGAUUAGAUACCCCAGUAGUC
RNAcentral lists this ribosomal RNA (440 nucleotides) under uncultured bacterium. Its description in RNAcentral is "partial 16S ribosomal RNA". It matches the Rfam family "Bacterial small subunit ribosomal RNA", at positions 338 to 795 of the family's 1533-position model. The record is from RNAcentral.